This 133-nucleotide ribosomal RNA is filed under the name uncultured bacterium. RNAcentral describes it as "partial 16S ribosomal RNA". It matches the Rfam family "Bacterial small subunit ribosomal RNA", at positions 356 to 481 of the family's 1533-position model. The record is from RNAcentral.
GAGGAAUAUUGGGCAAUGGGCGAAAGCCUGACCCAGCCACGCCGCGUGUGUGAUGAAGGCCUUCGGGUCGUAAAGCACUGUGGGGAGAGACGAAAAUGCGCAGGAGGAAAUGCUUGCGUACUGACGGUACCUC